Molecule: ribosomal RNA, 483 nt
Filed under: uncultured bacterium
Lineage: Bacteria
Description: partial 16S ribosomal RNA
Rfam family: Bacterial small subunit ribosomal RNA
Source: RNAcentral
AUUGAACGCUGGCGGCAGGCCUAACACAUGCAAGUCGAGCGGAUGAAGGGAGCUUGCUCCUGGAUUCAGCGGCGACGGGUGAGUAAUGCCUAGGAAUCUGCCUGGUAGUGGGGGAUAACGUCCGGAAACGGGCGCUAAUACCGCAUACGUCCUGAGGGAGAAAGUGGGGGAUCUUCGGACCUCACGCUAUCAGAUGAGCCUAGGUCGGAUUAGCUAGUUGGUGGGGUAAAGGCCUACCAAGGCGACGAUCCGUAACUGGUCUGAGAGGAUGAUCAGUCACACUGGAACUGAGACACGGUCCAGACUCCUACGGGAGGCAGCAGUGGGGAAUAUUGGACAAUGGGCGAAAGCCUGAUCCAGCCAUGCCGCGUGUGUGAAGAAGGUCUUCGGAUUGUAAAGCACUUUAAGUUGGGAGGAAGGGCAGUAAGUUAAUACCUUGCUGUUUUGACGUUACCAACAGAAUAAGCACCGGCUAACUUCGUG